This 1144-nucleotide ribosomal RNA is filed under the name Escherichia coli. RNAcentral describes it as "partial 23S ribosomal RNA". It matches the Rfam family "Bacterial large subunit ribosomal RNA", at positions 1 to 1177 of the family's 2925-position model. The record is from RNAcentral. Lineage: Bacteria; Pseudomonadati; Pseudomonadota; Gammaproteobacteria; Enterobacterales; Enterobacteriaceae.
GGGUUGUGAGGUUAAGCGACUAAGCGUACACGGUGGAUGCCCUGGCAGUCAGAGGCGAUGAAGGACGUGCUAAUCUGCGAUAAGCGUCGGUGAGGUGAUAUGAACCGUUAUAACCGGCGAUUUCCGAAUGGGGAAACCCAGUGUGUUUCGACACACUAUCAUUAACUGAAUCCAUAGGUUAAUGAGGCGAACCGGGGGAACUGAAACAUCUAAGUACCCCGAGGAAAAGAAAUCAACCGAGAUUCCCCCAGUAGCGGCGAGCGAACGGGGAGGAGCCCAGAGCCUGAAUCAGUGUGUGUGUUAGUGGAAGCGUCUGGAAAGGCGUGCGAUACAGGGUGACAGCCCCGUACACAAAAAUGCACAUAUUGUGAGCUCGAUGAGUAGGGCGGGACACGUGGUAUCCUGUCUGAAUAUGGGGGGACCAUCCUCCAAGGCUAAAUACUCCUGACUGACCGAUAGUGAACCAGUACCGUGAGGGAAAGGCGAAAAGAACCCCGGCGAGGGGAGUGAAAAAGAACCUGAAACCGUGUACGUACAAGCAGUGGGAGCCUCUUAAUGGGGUGACUGCGUACCUUUUGUAUAAUGGGUCAGCGACUUAUAUUCUGUAGCAAGGUUAACCGAAUAGGGGAGCCGAAGGGAAACCGAGUCUUAACUGGGCGUUAAGUUGCAGGGUAUAGACCCGAAACCCGGUGAUCUAGCCAUGGGCAGGUUGAAGGUUGGGUAACACUAACUGGAGGACCGAACCGACUAAUGUUGAAAAAUUAGCGGAUGACUUGUGGCUGGGGGUGAAAGGCCAAUCAAACCGGGAGAUAGCUGGUUCUCCCCGAAAGCUAUUUAGGUAGCGCCUCGUGAAUUCAUCUCCGGGGGUAGAGCACUGUUUCGGCAAGGGGGUCAUCCCGACUUACCAACCCGAUGCAAACUGCGAAUACCGGAGAAUGUUAUCACGGGAGACACACGGCGGGUGCUAACGUCCGUCGUGAAGAGGGAAACAACCCAGACCGCCAGCUAAGGUCCCAAAGUCAUGGUUAAGUGGGAAACGAUGUGGGAAGGCCCAGACAGCCAGGAUGUUGGCUUAGAAGCAGCCAUCAUUUAAAGAAAGCGUAAUAGCUCACUGGUCGAGUCGGCCUGCGCGGAAGAUGUAACG